Molecule: ribosomal RNA, 716 nt
Filed under: Lactiplantibacillus plantarum
Lineage: Bacteria; Bacillati; Bacillota; Bacilli; Lactobacillales; Lactobacillaceae
Description: bacterial SSU rRNA
Rfam family: Bacterial small subunit ribosomal RNA
Source: RNAcentral
CGCCGCGUGAGUGAAGAAGGGUUUCGGCUCGUAAAACUCUGUUGUUAAAGAAGAACAUAUCUGAGAGUAACUGUUCAGGUAUUGACGGUAUUUAACCAGAAAGCCACGGCUAACUACGUGCCAGCAGCCGCGGUAAUACGUAGGUGGCAAGCGUUGUCCGGAUUUAUUGGGCGUAAAGCGAGCGCAGGCGGUUUUUUAAGUCUGAUGUGAAAGCCUUCGGCUCAACCGAAGAAGUGCAUCGGAAACUGGGAAACUUGAGUGCAGAAGAGGACAGUGGAACUCCAUGUGUAGCGGUGAAAUGCGUAGAUAUAUGGAAGAACACCAGUGGCGAAGGCGGCUGUCUGGUCUGUAACUGACGCUGAGGCUCGAAAGUAUGGGUAGCAAACAGGAUUAGAUACCCUGGUAGUCCAUACCGUAAACGAUGAAUGCUAAGUGUUGGAGGGUUUCCGCCCUUCAGUGCUGCAGCUAACGCAUUAAGCAUUCCGCCUGGGGAGUACGGCCGCAAGGCUGAAACUCAAAGGAAUUGACGGGGGCCCGCACAAGCGGUGGAGCAUGUGGUUUAAUUCGAAGCUACGCGAAGAACCUUACCAGGUCUUGACAUACUAUGCAAAUCUAAGAGAUUAGACGUUCCCUUCGGGGACAUGGAUACAGGUGGUGCAUGGUUGUCGUCAGCUCGUGUCGUGAGAUGUUGGGUUAAGUCCCGCAACGAGCGCAAC